Molecule: ribosomal RNA, 410 nt
Filed under: uncultured bacterium
Lineage: Bacteria
Description: bacterial SSU rRNA
Rfam family: Bacterial small subunit ribosomal RNA
Source: RNAcentral
GGACUCGCACAAGCGGUGGAGCGCGCGGCUUAAUUCGAUACCAAGCGAAGAACCUUACCAGGGCUAGAAACCAUAGGGAACUCACUCCGAAAGGAGUGGGGCCUUCGGGCUCUAUGGCAGGUGAUGCAUGGCCGUCGUCAGUUCGUGGUUUGAACUGUUCCCUUAAGUGGGGUAACGAACGCAACCCUCGUUGCCAGUUAUAUGUGUCUGGCGAGACUGCUCCCUCACGGGAGAGGAAGGUGGGGAUGACGCCAGGUCAGCAUGUCCCUUGAUGCCCUGGGCUGCACGCACGCUACAAUGGCUGUUACAACAGGUUGCGACCGGGUAACCGUAAGCUAAUCCUUAUAAAAACAGUCUCAGUGCGGAUUGAGGUCUGCAACUCGACCUCAUGAAGUCGGAAUCGCUAGUAA